UGGGGGAUAUUGCACAAUGGGCGAAAGCCUGAUGCAGCGACGCCGCGUGGGGGAUGAAGGCCUUCGGGUUGUAAACUUCUUUUGCUCUGAACAAGGCAUGCCUUUGGGGUGUGUUGAGUGUAGGGGUUGAUUAGCGCCGGCUAACUACGUGCCAGCAGCCGCGGUAAUACGUAGGGCGCGAGCGUUGUCCGGAAUUAUUGGGCGUAAAGGGCUUGUAGGUGGCUGGUUGCGUCUGUCGUGAAAGCUCAUGGCUUAACUGGGGGUUUGCGGUGGGUACGGGCUGGCUUGAGUGCAGUAGGGGAGGCUGGAAUUCCUGGUGUAGCGGUGGAAUGCGCAGAUAUCAGGAGGAAUACCGGUGGCGAAGGCGGGUCUCUGGGCUGUUACUGACGCUGAGGAGCGAAAGCGUGGGGAGCGAACAGG
This 420-nucleotide ribosomal RNA is filed under the name Fusobacteriota bacterium. RNAcentral's name for it is "Fusobacteria bacterium partial 16S ribosomal RNA". It matches the Rfam family "Bacterial small subunit ribosomal RNA", at positions 355 to 776 of the family's 1533-position model. The record is from RNAcentral. Lineage: Bacteria; Fusobacteriati; Fusobacteriota.